UUCCGGUUGAUCCCGCCGGACCCCACUGCUAUCGAGGUGGGACUAAGCCAUGCUAGUCGAACGAACAGAACUAUGUCUGUAAGUGGCAUACUGCUCAGUAACACGUAGCUAACCUACCCUUAGGACGUCGAUAACCCCGAGAAAUUGGGGCUAAUAAGCGAUAGGUGUGAUGUCCUGGAAUGGUAUCACGCCCAAAGGUAUUCCAUACAUGUUUGGUAUACGCCUAAGGAUGGGGCUGCGGCCGAUCAGGCUGUUGGUGAGGUAAUGGCUCACCAAACCUUUGACCGGUACGGGCCAUGAGAGUGGUAGCCCGGAGAUGGACACUGAAACAAGGGUCCAGGCCCUACGGGGCGCAGCAGGCGCGAAACCUCCUCAAUGCACUAACGUGCGAAGGGGUUACCUCGAGUGCCAUCUGAAAAAGAUGGCUUUUCCUUGGUCUAAAAAGCCUCGGGAAUAAGAGGGGGGCAAGACUGGUGUCAGCCGCCGCGGUAACACCAGCCCCUCGAGUGGUGGGGAUGAUUAUUUGGCCUAAAGCGUCCGUAGCCGGCCGGGUAAGUCUCCCGUUAAAUCUAACGUCUCAAGCGUUGGACUGCGGGAGAUACUGUCUGGCUAGAGAGUGGGAGAGGUAAGCGGUAUUCUGGGGGUAGGGGCGAAAUCCUUUGAUCCCCGGAGGACCACCAGUGGCGAAGGCUGCUGACUGGAACACGUCUGACGGUCAGGGACGAAAAGCUGGGGUAGCGAACCGGAUUAGAU
RNAcentral lists this ribosomal RNA (753 nucleotides) under uncultured archaeon. RNAcentral's name for it is "bacterial SSU rRNA". It matches the Rfam family "Archaeal small subunit ribosomal RNA", at positions 1 to 734 of the family's 1478-position model. The record is from RNAcentral.